GUCGAGCGGAUGACGGGAGCUUGCUCCUUGAUUCAGCGGCGGACGGGUGAGUAAUGCCUAGGAAUCUGCCUGGUAGUGGGGGACAACGUUUCGAAAGGAACGCUAAUACCGCAUACGUCCUACGGGAGAAAGCAGGGGACCUUCGGGCCUUGCGCUAUCAGAUGAGCCUAGGUCGGAUUAGCUAGUUGGUGGGGUAAUGGCUCACCAAGGCGACGAUCCGUAACUGGUCUGAGAGGAUGAUCAGUCACACUGGAACUGAGACACGGUCCAGACUCCUACGGGAGGCAGCAGUGGGGAAUAUUGGACAAUGGGCGAAAGCCUGAUCCAGCCAUGCCGCGUGUGUGAAGAAGGUCUUCGGAUUGUAAAGCACUUUAAGUUGGGAGGAAGGGCAGUAAGUUAAUACCUUGCUGUUUUGACGUUACCGACAGAAUAAGCACCGGCUAACUCUGUGCCAGCAGCCGCGGUAAUACAGAGGGUGCAAGCGUUAAUCGGAAUUACUGGGCGUAAAGCGCGCGUAGGUGGUUUGUUAAGUUGGAUGUGAAAGCCCCGGGCUCAACCUGGGAACUGCAUCCAAAACUGGCAAGCUAGAGUACGGUAGAGGGUGGUGGAAUUUCCUGUGUAGCGGUGAAAUGCGUAGAUAUAGGAAGGAACACCAGUGGCGAAGGCGACCACCUGGACUGAUACUGACACUGAGGUGCGAAAGCGUGGGGGAGCAAACAGGAUUAGAUACCCUGGUAGUCCACGCCGUAAACGAUGUCAACUAAGCCGUUUGGAAUCCUUGAGAUUUUAGUGGCGCAGCUAACGC
This 805-nucleotide ribosomal RNA is filed under the name Pseudomonas putida. RNAcentral's name for it is "bacterial SSU rRNA". It matches the Rfam family "Bacterial small subunit ribosomal RNA", at positions 61 to 858 of the family's 1533-position model. Lineage: Bacteria; Pseudomonadati; Pseudomonadota; Gammaproteobacteria; Pseudomonadales; Pseudomonadaceae. The record is from RNAcentral.